UCCUAGCCCUGAUCGCAGCGGCUACCCCACAGCAAGCGGUGGACAAUGUAUUGGCGCGAGGAGUAAUAGCGAAGAGCAGGUUCCCGG
RNAcentral lists this unclassified non-coding RNA (87 nucleotides) under Kaistella chaponensis. Its description in RNAcentral is "Chryseobacterium chaponense Flavo-1 RNA". The record is from RNAcentral. Lineage: Bacteria; Pseudomonadati; Bacteroidota; Flavobacteriia; Flavobacteriales; Weeksellaceae.